This 449-nucleotide ribosomal RNA is filed under the name uncultured bacterium. RNAcentral's name for it is "partial 16S ribosomal RNA". It matches the Rfam family "Bacterial small subunit ribosomal RNA", at positions 29 to 523 of the family's 1533-position model. The record is from RNAcentral.
AACGAACGCUGGCGGCAUGCCUAACACAUGCAAGUCGAACGAGAUCUUCGGGUCUAGUGGCGCACGGGUGCGUAACGCGUGGGAAUCUGCCCUUUGGUUCGGAAUAACAGUUGGAAACGACUGCUAAUACCGGAUGAUGACGAAAGUCCAAAGAUUUAUCGCCAGAGGAUGAGCCCGCGUAGGAUUAGCUAGUUGGUGUGGUAAAGGCGCACCAAGGCGACGAUCCUUAGCUGGUCUGAGAGGAUGAUCAGCCACACUGGGACUGUGACACGGCCCAGACUCCUACGGGAGGCAGCAGUGGGGAAUAUUGGACAAUGGGCGAAAGCCUGAUCCAGCAAUGCCGCGUGAGUGAUGAAGGCCUUAGGGUUGUAAAGCUCUUUUACCCGGGAUGAUAAUGACAGUACCGGGAGAAUAAGCUCCGGCUAACUCCGUGCCAGCAGCCGCAGUAG